Molecule: ribosomal RNA, 253 nt
Filed under: uncultured bacterium
Lineage: Bacteria
Description: partial 16S ribosomal RNA
Rfam family: Bacterial small subunit ribosomal RNA
Source: RNAcentral
UACGAAGGGGGCUAGCGUUGCUCGGAAUUACUGGGCGUAAAGCGUGCGCAGGCGGUGAUGUAAGACAGAUGUGAAAUCCCCGGGCUCAACCUGGGAACUGCAUUUGUGACUGCAUCGCUAGAGUACGGUAGAGGGGGAUGGAAUUCCGCGUGUAGCAGUGAAAUGCGUAGAUAUGCGGAGGAACACCGAUGGCGAAGGCAAUCCCCUGGACCUGUACUGACGCUCAUGCACGAAAGCGUGGGGAGCAAACGGG